AUUGAACGCUGGCGGCAUGCCUUACACAUGCAAGUCGAACGGCAGCACGGGUGCUUGCACCUGGUGGCGAGUGGCGAACGGGUGAGUAAUAUAUCGGAACGUACCUUAUUGUGGGGGAUAACGCAGCGAAAGCUGUGCUCAUACCGCAUAAUCCCUAAGGGGGAAAGCGGGGGACCUUAAGGCCUCGCGCAAUUAGAGCGGCCGAUACCUGAUUAGCUAGUUGGUGAGGUAAAGGCUCACCAAGGCAACGAUCAGUAGCUGGUCUGAGAGGACGAUCAGCCACACUGGGACUGAGACACGGCCCAGACUCCUACGGGAGGCAGCAGUGGGGAAUUUUGGACAAUGGGGGCAACCCUGAUCCAGCAAUGCCGCGUGAGUGAAGAAGGCCUUCGGGUUGUAAAGCUCUUUUGUCAGGGAAGAAACAGCAGCUCUAACACAGUUUGCGAAUGACGGUACCUGAAGAAUAAGCACCGGCUAACUACGUGCCAGCAGCCGCAGUAA
This 501-nucleotide ribosomal RNA is filed under the name uncultured bacterium. RNAcentral's name for it is "partial 16S ribosomal RNA". It matches the Rfam family "Bacterial small subunit ribosomal RNA", at positions 30 to 523 of the family's 1533-position model. The record is from RNAcentral.